AAACUUUGCAAUGUGCGAAAGCACGACAAGGUUAAUCCGAGUGGUUUCUGCUAAAGGAACCUUUUGACAGUCCUAGAAACACUGUUGAAUAAGGGGUGGGCAAGUUCUGGUGUCAGCCGCCGCGGUAAAACCAGCACCUCAAGUGGUCAGGAUGAUUAUUGGGCCUAAAGCAUCCGUAGCCGGCUCUGUAAGUUUUCGGUUAAAUCUGUACGCUUAACGUACAGGCUGCUGGGAAUACUGCAGAGCUAGGGAGUGGGAGAGGUAGACGGUACUCGGGAGGAAGUGGUAAAAUGCUUUGAUCUCUCGAUGACCACCUGUGGCGAAGGCGGUCUACCAGAACACGUCCGACGGUGAGGGAUGAAAGCUGGGGGAGCAAACCGGAUUAGAUACCCGGGUAGUCCCAGCUGUAAACUAUGCAAACUCAGUGAUGCACUGGCUUUUGGCCAGUGCAGUGUUGCAGGGAAGCCGUUAAGUUUGCCGCCUGGGAAGUACGUACGCAAGUAUGAAACUUAA
This 513-nucleotide ribosomal RNA is filed under the name uncultured archaeon. RNAcentral describes it as "bacterial SSU rRNA". It matches the Rfam family "Archaeal small subunit ribosomal RNA", at positions 345 to 859 of the family's 1478-position model. The record is from RNAcentral.